GGAGCCAGAGCCGUAGAAUUCGCACCACAUAGGGGUACCGGGUACGCUCACUUUUACAACAUUAUUGGCGUGGGAGGGGAAUCAAUUGAAUUCAAUAUGCAUGAUUGGGGUGUCAAAUAAAAGUCAUGAUGGUAAUUAACUGUGGACUGUACGUAAAGCCAUAAGGAUGGCAGAGUGAUGGUCUCCCUAUAUUAACGAACUGGGUAGAAGAGAGGAGAUAUAUAGCUUUACUCUAGCUUGCUUUCGCUGUUUCCACUAAUCGUGAAUCAAUCUCCAACUCGUUGAAAGAAUGGCCGAGGCACUCGUCAACCUCCUUGUUGAACAAUUGGGUUCAGUUGUUUACCACCACACAAGUGAAGGGGCGACACUGGUCUUGAAUGCCAAGAAGGACGUUGACAAGUUCAGAAGCACCCUCAAACUUAUCCAGAAUGUGCUUCAAGAUGCUGAGAAGAAGCAAGUGUCGGAUCCCGCGGUGAGAGACUGGUUGGAUGAGCUCAAAGACGUGUCGUACAAGAUGGAUGACGUGCUGGACGCUUGGAACACUGAAAUUGGGAAACGAGAAGCUGAGAAUCAAGAAACACAAGGUUCUGAUGCGGAGGUACGUUUCUCAUUUCGUUCCAAUUGCUUUUGUCUUGCUCGAUUGAAUGUGCUAACUCGUCGUUAUAAGAUUGGUAGAGCAAUGAAAGAUCUGAAUGCAGAGUUAACUCAGAUUUACGACGACAAAAACCAGUUUAGCUUUCAAUCCACCAUGCAUGCUGCUGCAGUUAAUGUUGAACAACCUAAUCCACGAUCUUUCACUUCAUCUUUCGUUGAUAUAUCGACCAUAUUUGGGCGACAAGUUCAAAAAGACAGGCUGGUGACUGAGUUGUUAAGGCGAAGGGAAGGGAGGCCCGGCCUUGUCAUCCCCAUUGUAGGAAUGGGAGGAUUGGGGAAAACAACUUUGGCCCAAUUAGUCUUUAACGAUGCACAAGUUCAAGCCCAUUUUGAUAUCAAAGCAUGGGUUUGUGUCUCAGACCCUUUUGAUGUCAUCAAGAUUGCAAAAGCAAUCUUUAGGCAACUCGGUGGUACUCGAGUUACUUCAGAGGAGUUGCAAAGGCAACUCGGUGGUACUCGAGUUACUUCAGACGAGUUGCAAACUAUAUUAGAUGAUAUUCAAAAUCUUGUCAAGAAAAAAGAGGAUGAAAAGGAAAAGAAGAUCCUUCUUGUCCUAGACGAUGUGUGGACCGAAGACGACAGAGAGUGGGAUAGUUUAAAAUUACAAGUAUUAAUGCAAAGCUGUUCUGAAGGCAGUAGAAUUCUGGUGACCACUCGAAAGCAGGAGGUUGCUCGAAUGAUGAGAGCAACUAGGGACAUGAUCACUUUGGGGAAGUUGAGUGAUUUAGAUUCUUUGGACCUAUUCAAUAGUAUUGCAUUUCUGGAUAGGGAAGAAGAUUCCAACAAGGUGUUUGGAGAUAUUGCUGAGAAAAUUGUUAGAAAAUGUGACGGUUUGCCUCUUGUUCUAAAGACUUUAGGUAGUCUCCUAAUGCCUAAGCAAACAAUUAGAGAAUGGGAAGAAGUUCUCAACAGUGAGCUAUGGAAUGUAGAUAGGGUUAAAGAUGAAAUUUUUGGACCACUAUUACUUAGUUAUUAUGAUUUGGCUCCAGAGAUUAGGAGUUGUCUUCUGUAUUGUGCUACUUAUCCCAAAAAUCAUGAGUUCAACAAAGAAAUUCUUAUCGAGCAGUGGAUGUCACAAGGCUAUCUAAAUGUUGGAGGAAACAAGGAAGAGUCAACACAAGGUAGAGAAGUUUUUACCAAGUUAGUAAUGCGAAGUUUCUUUCAAGAUUUCAUGCAAGAUGCACUUACCAAGGAAAUUAUAGGCUGCAAAAUGCAUGAUACUGUGCAUGAUUUUGUACAAUAUCUUACCCAGAAUGAGUGUCUUACUAUGAAGGCUACGGGUACCCAUGGAACAGAGACAUCGAGUGCAAAUGACAGGGUUCGUCAUUUGACCUUAAUGUCAGCACCCAAGGGUCCAUUUCCAUCUUUGAUAUCAAAAUUAGCAAAUAGCAAAAUUUUGCAUACCCUGACAACUUUUGGUUCAAGAAUUACUGCCAUAGAUUCGAAUUUGAUUUCACAGUGGAAAUGCCUGAGGACCUUGAAUUUGAGUGGCAACAAGAUCCGGCAGUUGCCAGAGGAGAUUGGUGAUUUGACACAUUUGAGAUAUCUUGAUUUGUCUUAUUGUAUUAAUUUGAGUAGUUUACCCGAUGGCGUGUGUAACUUGUACAAUUUGCAAACUUUGAGGCUUUGUCGCUGCACCAGGCUUGAAGAGUUGCCGGACAAUAUGGGGAAGUUGAUUAACUUGAAGCACCUUCAUGUUUAUCAUUGGCUGAAGUACUUACCAAAAGGGAUUAGGCGUAUAAGGAAUUUGCGAACACUAGACGGGGGCACUUCUGUUUAUUGUAGUGAAGAUGCCGAAGCAUUGACAUUGGGAGAUCUGAGGAUGAUGAAUCAGCUUCGCCGUCUUGACAUCGUGAUUUCAAGGGUUGGGGAAAAUGCUGCAAGUGAGGCCGCGAAAGCAGAAUUAAAUCAAAAACUUGAUCUUUCUUAUUUAAAACUUUUUCUGCUUCUUGGCCGCGACAAGGACGUAAAUGCUGGAGUAAUGAAUGCCUUGCGACCACAUGAAAAUUUGGACUCUCUGGUAAUUGGGGGGUAUCAUGGCCCCACCUGGCCCAAUUGGAUGACGACGUCGUAUUUAAAGAGAUUGACAGUCUUUCAUCUUUGUCCCAGCGACUCCUCUGUUUUGCCUCCUCUCGGGAAACUGCCGUCCCUUAAAGUAGUAAAGCUAAUGGACAUGUCUCGCCUGAAAGAGAUCGGAGCUGAAUUUUACGGAGUAGAAGAAGAAACAUCGUCAUCAUCAUCAUCCUUCCCCAGUUUGGAAACUCUCUUUCUUGGCGGCUUGUUUAGUUUAGAAAAGUGGGAAUUAGGUGGAAAGGCAGAAGAGGAGGGUUCUUCUAAUUCCCAAAUGAAAUCAAUUUCAAUAAUGCCACGCCUUUCUUCCUUACAUAUUUUGGAGUGUUCUAGACUGAAACAACUGCCAGACUUCCUCCUGCAAAAUGCACCACUGCAGAAUCUUCUCAUCAAAAAUUGUCAGAGCCUUCCUGCCAGCCUUCCUGACGAGUUCAUCUCUCGCAUCCCAAACGUCGCAAUUACUGGAUAUGGAGUUGAUCCCCUUUUCAAAGGAGGGACGAGUCUAUAUGAAGUCUCAAUCAAUUCGCUUCCACGUUCUGCCAAUGAAGUCCAAAGGCCUUAUGAGGAUUAUAUACGACUUAGUCUGAAAAAUACUUCUUGCCAGAAAAUAUUGCAAAGUCAUGCUCAUGCUCAUGCUCACCCCUCAAAGUUGCAGUGGCUGGUUUCCUCAAAACAUGAUGACUCUCCCAUACUCCUCAUGCUUUGCAAUAUGUCGCAUUUCGUAUACAAUAUAUCUCCUAUACACAUAUACCUUAUGUAUCUGGUGUAUACAAAAUAUCAAACCAAGUUUAUGAGCAGGCCAGGCUGAUGCAGAAAGGAAUUGAAUUGGUGCUGGCAAGCUGAUUAGUGCUAUGAUUUUGAGCUGCAUUUUGGAUCUAUUCGACUGACCAAUGUGGCGCUAUUAGAUUUACCUGGGUGUCCAAACCCGCCUCAAGUUUUCAGUUGCUGGAUAUAUCCCAAGACAUGGUGAACCUCAGGCUAAACUGAAGGAUAACUGACUCAGAAUAGUUGUCCAGUUGGCAGCUGAUUAAUGAGGUUCUACAAAUGGAGCAAAGGAGGAUUGUCAAGCAGUGAUACACCAUUUCGGAAAUUGUCUUGCAUCGUCGCAUCCAUUUGACUAUUGAUGUGCUUUUCACAAUUCUGCCAGAAGUAUAGGACUUGUCUGAAGAAGUGAUGCACUAGCAAAGGAGAACUGUCUAGUAUUCUUUCAUCCAUUUGAUCAGUGGAUGAGGAUUACCUAAACUAGCUUGGAAGAGGGGCAGAGUGGAUGUGACCCAAACCGAGCUGAUUCAAAUUCAACCAAAGGACAAAUGAUGUAGGGGAUGUUCAAUGAGGGUUGCAGCUCAAAAUAGCUUGGACAUGGUGAAAUCCUGAUUGAAGUGGAAUCCUGUUGAAUCUAGUGGAACUAAAUUCAGGAGAAGAUUCACACUGAGAGGAACAGCAUAUCACGGGCUUAGUCAAGCUAAAGUCCCAAAGGCUGCAAGGUUUUAAUUUCUUCUUUCACAAGGAGAGGGGACUUGUUCUAGUAGUACUAGGAUUGUGAAGAACCUAUAGAUUAUUUAGGAAGAGAUGCUUCCCUAAGAAAUUUUACUUUGAGAGGAAUGCUUGUGAGGUUUUUCUUGGGUGUAACUGGGGCUCUCUAUUGAGAGGGGUUGAGAGGAGUGAGAUUACCUAGAGUGGUUUAUGAUUGUAACCUUCUUUAUUAGUUGAUUCAUCAUCAUCA
Molecule: RNA transcript, 4447 nt
Organism: Rosa chinensis
Lineage: Eukaryota; Viridiplantae; Streptophyta; Magnoliopsida; Rosales; Rosaceae
Gene name: putative disease resistance protein RGA3
Exons: 7
Source: RefSeq, a predicted model, not a curated record